UACGAAGGGGGCUAGCGUUGCUCGGAAUGACUGGGCGUAAAGGGCGCGUAGGCGGAUGGCACAGUCAGAUGUGAAAUUCCCGGGCUUAACCUGGGGGCUGCAUUUGAUACGUGUUGUCUUGAGUUCGGAAGAGGGUCGUGGAAUUCCCAGUGUAGAGGUGAAAUUCGUAGAUAUUCGCAAGAACACCAGUGGCGAAGGCGGCUCACUGGCCCGAUACUGACGCUGAGGCACGAAAGCGUGGGGAGCAAACAGG
RNAcentral lists this ribosomal RNA (253 nucleotides) under uncultured bacterium. RNAcentral describes it as "partial 16S ribosomal RNA". It matches the Rfam family "Bacterial small subunit ribosomal RNA", at positions 524 to 776 of the family's 1533-position model. The record is from RNAcentral.